Molecule: long non-coding RNA, 481 nt
Filed under: Cricetulus griseus (Chinese hamster)
Lineage: Eukaryota; Metazoa; Chordata; Mammalia; Rodentia; Cricetidae
Description: lncRNA (ENSCGRG00015041621.1)
Source: RNAcentral
AAACAAAGUCAGCCACAAAUUAUUGAGGUCAGGCAGUGGUGGCAGAUGGAUCUCUCUGAGUUCAAGGCCACCCAGGCUUACACAAGAUUGAAUCAGUCUAAAAGAGUAACAGAGCUCAUGCCUUUAAUCCCAGGACUCAUGAGAGGUAUUUAAGACAGGAAUGGAUUCAAUAUGAGGUAUUCAUUCUCCAGCAACACUGAGGAGAGGUUGCAGUCUGAGGCUUGGUGAGAGCUCUUGGAGACAGGAUCAGCCCAUUCAGCCUGAAGUAGAGCACCUUAAAAGAAAAACAAAUGAACCAGAUUAACGUGCCAUUGUGGAACGAUGCAUUUGCUAAUGCCCACCAGAUGAAGCCUAAAUGGACACCAUUUCUGAGGAAGACAAGCUUCAGCAAGCUAAAAUCCAUGAGAAAACAGGGUCUCACUGUAUAGCUCUGGCUCAACUGGAACUCAUUCUGUAGACCACGAUAGCCUCAAAGACACGG